RNAcentral lists this ribosomal RNA (446 nucleotides) under uncultured bacterium. RNAcentral describes it as "bacterial SSU rRNA". It matches the Rfam family "Bacterial small subunit ribosomal RNA", at positions 30 to 463 of the family's 1533-position model. The record is from RNAcentral.
AGUGAACGCUGGCGGCAGGCCUAACACAUGCAAGUCGAGCGGCAGCGCGUCCGACCACCCUCGGGUGGUCGGAUGGCGGCGAGCGGCGGACGGGUGAGGAAUGCAUCGGAAUCUGCCUCGUUGUGGGGGAUAACGUAGGGAAACUUACGCUAAUACCGCAUACGACCUACGGGUGAAAGUGGGGGACCUUCGGGCCUCACGCGAUGAGAUGAGCCGAUGCCGGAUUAGCUAGUUGGCGGGGUAAAGGCCCACCAAGGCGACGAUCCGUAGCUGGUCUGAGAGGAUGAUCAGCCACACUGGAACUGAGACACGGUCCAGACUCCUACGGGAGGCAGCAGUGGGGAAUAUUGGACAAUGGGGGCAACCCUGAUCCAGCCAUGCCGCGUGUGUGAAGAAGGCCUCGGUUGUAAGACGACUUUGUUUGGGUAGGAAACGGACCGGGUUAA